AUACUUGGUUGCAGGGGGAAUGCUAUGAUCCGGGAGGUGAUUUCUCCAAGGUGAGGCUCUUUUAUUACACACUUCUUUGGGAUAAUCCCUGUGAUUUCUCCAAAUGUGGGAAAUGCAACUGCAUAAUUUUUGGUAGUGUGGACUGUGUUUGUGCAGUUCACU
Small nuclear RNA from Protopterus annectens (West African lungfish), 162 nucleotides. RefSeq annotates it as U1 spliceosomal RNA. The transcript has a single exon. Lineage: Eukaryota; Metazoa; Chordata; Ceratodontiformes; Protopteridae. The record is from RefSeq and is a predicted model, not a curated record.